Oncorhynchus kisutch (coho salmon) is the source of this 2401-nucleotide long non-coding RNA. NCBI's taxonomy places the organism in Eukaryota, Metazoa, Chordata, Actinopteri, Salmoniformes, Salmonidae. The record is from Ensembl.
AUCACACUGGCGACUGGGGUGGGAGGUUAAUUGUGACAGAGCUUCCAUGAUUUGUUCAGGAAAAAUAGGAUUGGAGCCAGACAAGGCUAGGGCUGGGGUCAACCCGGGGUCUCAACUGUUUCCUGUCAGCCUGACCUGGGUGGUACUGACAGAGGGAGGGAGAAAGGGGUCUGUUCAGUCUAAACUGGGUUCUGGAGUUCCUUGCUUCAGGAUUAAGCUGAAAAGUAGGCUAUAAUACUUCUAUUAGUGUAAUAUUACAUUUAUAAAGUAGGCCCUAUCUUGGUCAGUCUGUCUGUCUGUCUCUUUCUCUUUCUCUCUCUCUCUCUCUCUCUCUCUCUCUCUCUGUCUGUCUCCCUUUGUCUCCCUCUGUCUCUCUCUCUAAAGUGAAUAUUUAUUUCUCAUAGCUAUGUAGCUGACGUUACUGUGAGCUGCAUCCAAGACCCAAAACAGUGUGUCACUGGGAAAACAUUUUCCUCUCUCCUCUCCCUCUCUCCUCCUCUGAAGGCCAGCCUCUCUGUGUCGUCUAUCAGCCUGGUGUGUUUAGAGCUAGCCACAGGGUCAGAACAGAGCAGAGAAAGGCAUCUACCCCAUCUACUCCUAUUUCUCUCAUUCUCUCACUCACAAUACUCACAAAUCUCUCUUCCUUUCUCCCCCUUUUACCUCCCAGUCAUACAAUAGACUUCCCCUGUACGGUCCUGCCCAGAAGAAAGAACAGGGGGAUACAGUUUCCACAACAAUGGAAAUUCAAUCAGGAAAUGGAGAGGAGUUGGAGGUGGUGAGUGGCGAGUCAUUAGCGACCUCGGGCUCCGUUUCCUCCUCGACGUAUCUCUCUGUCCCUCAGGCAGACGGCACGGACGACCAAGUACUCCGGGAGGACCUCCAGGCUGCCAAGACCAUUGAGAGGUUUGACAUCCCUCUGAGUAACUUGAAGAGGAUGUUUGAGAAGCCCCCAGGAGCAGCCAACACUGAAGUGAGAGCCGUACAGUCCAGCCCAUCCAGAAGAGCCCCAGCCAGUAGCUACCAGCUUGACCAGAAGAGGGACCCAUCACCUGGUGAGAAGAUGGCCUCAGCUCAUGACCCCAGCCUCUGUAAGUAGUUCAUUACUGUAGCAUUACACACUGCCCUACCCCCUCCUCCUCCAGCACUUUUAUUCCAUCAGAAAUCAGGUAGCACAACUUUCAUAGAAUUUCCUCAAAUCCACAUAGCAGCUACAGAAUGUGAUACCGGUUAUGUGUACUUGAGAGAGAAAUCCGAAGACGAGCUUGUAUGUUGAGCAUGUACUGUGUUGUCCUGUGUGGGAUCAAAUCAACUCUGGGAAUGGAGUAUCAUCCGAGGCAGAAAAUGAACAACCCUAGAUACACAAACAGUUUUUCCAUUACUGUGAUAGGAGAAGUUGCUGAGUGGCUGCAUUGUGGGUUUCCCCUUUUCCACUGAAACUGAUAACAUUGUCUGUACAGAGUAGUCGUGGGGAAGGUGCAGUAUUCUCCGUUUAAAAAACUGCAGUAUUUCUCUAAAAAGGUCCACAGAUAUAUGUUUCUUUACGGAAAACCAUCCACAAAUAAUUUCACUGUUUCACUCCAUUUAAAUGAUUUACACAUGUGAAUGCAGAGGACGUGACCUGAGAGAGAUAGUGCUUGAGUGUGUGACAUGAGUGUGUGACAUUGGGGUCAUGUUGAGGUGCUUCUGUGAGUGUGUGUGUGUGUGUGUGAGAGAGACAGAAAGGCUCAGUGGAUUGAUGGACAUGUUGACAGCUCACUGUGUGUUCCACUCACAUACUGACUGACAGACACACACACACACACAGACAGACACACACACACACACACUCACAGACACACACACACAGACAAACACACACAGACAGACACACACACACACUCACACAGACACACACACACACACACACACACACACACACACACACACACACACACACACACACACACACACACACACACACACACACACACACACACACACACACACACACACACACACACACGACAUUACUCCUAGUUGUUGUUGUGGUUUCAGUAACAACCUAUAUACAGCAGUUCAAUCUCCAGAAUGUUUUUUUUCUCUUCUCAAAUGUUACCUCGGCCAUGUGAAAUGGUUAACCAGUCCUAAAUCACUGUGGUGGCUAAAGUUGGAUGACACUGUGGCCUUUGCGGACCGGUGUGGGUGUAAGUGAUGAGGGUUUGUGAGAGCUGACCGAUUGACAGUGUCAUGCUAGUGACAGCAUCAUGUGAUUUACAGCUCACAGUGAGUGACAGAGGAGGUAAAGGAGCUGUUUUCCCGAAGCCACCGUGUUAAAUAAAGACCUGUGAACGACACACUGAACUUUGUGCUUUAAACAAGCACCAACCUCACCUCUGAAGCAGCAUGCUUUUGUCUUUUAAAU